GACGAACGCUGGCGGCGUGCUUAACACAUGCAAGUCGAGCGGUAAGGCCCUUUCGGGGGUACGACGAGCGGCGAACGGGUGAGUAACACGUGGGUGACCUGCCCUUAGCUCUGGGACAAGCCUGGGAAACGUGGGUCUAAUACCGGAUAUGACUCCAUAACGCAUGUUGUGGGGUGGAAAGCCUUGUGCGGCUAGGGAUGGGCCCGCGGCCUAUCAGCUUGUUGGUGGGGUGAUGGCCUACCAAGGCGACGACGGGUAGCCGGCCUGAGAGGGCGACCGGCC
This 282-nucleotide ribosomal RNA is filed under the name uncultured bacterium. RNAcentral describes it as "partial 16S ribosomal RNA". It matches the Rfam family "Bacterial small subunit ribosomal RNA", at positions 28 to 309 of the family's 1533-position model. The record is from RNAcentral.